Molecule: non-coding RNA, 30 nt
Filed under: Alexandrium minutum
Lineage: Eukaryota; Dinophyceae; Gonyaulacales; Pyrocystaceae
Source: RNAcentral
GCGAUGGGCGUGCACAACGACUACACUCUC